This 700-nucleotide ribosomal RNA is filed under the name uncultured bacterium. Its description in RNAcentral is "bacterial SSU rRNA". It matches the Rfam family "Bacterial small subunit ribosomal RNA", at positions 130 to 844 of the family's 1533-position model. The record is from RNAcentral.
CUAUCAGAGGGGAACAACAGUUAGAAAUGACUGCUAAUACCGCAUAUGCCAUGAGUAUCACAUGAUACAAAUGGGAAAGGAGCAAUCCGCUGAUAGAUGGGCUUGCGUCUGAUUAGAUAGUUGGUGGGGUAAUGGCCUACCAAGUCAACGAUCAGUAGCCGAACUGAGAGGUUGAACGGCCACAUUGGGACUGAGAUACGGCCCAGACUCCUACGGGAGGCAGCAGUCGGGAAUAUUGCGCAAUGGAGGAAACUCUGACGCAGUGACGCCGCGUGCAGGAAGAAGGUUUUCGGAUUGUAAACUGCUUUAGACAGGGAAGAAAAAGGACAGUACCUGUAGAAUAAGCUCCGGCUAACUACGUGCCAGCAGCCGCGGUAAUACGUAGGGAGCAAGCGUUAUCCGGAUUUAUUGGGUGUAAAGGGUGCGUAGACGGGAAGGCAAGUUGGUUGUGAAAUCCCUCGGCUUAACUGAGGAACUGCAACCAAAACUAUCUUUCUUGAGUGCUGGAGAGGAAAGUGGAAUUCCUAGUGUAGCGGUGAAAUGCGUAGAUAUUAAGAGGAACACCAGUGGCGAAGGCGACUUUCUGGACAGUAACUGACGUUGAGGCACGAAAGUGUGGGGAGCAAACAGGAUUAGAUACCCUGGUAGUCCACACCGUAAACGAAUGGAUACUAGGUGUAGGGGAUGAAUAAUCUUCUGU